UACGGGGGGGGCAAGCGUUGUUCGGAAUUACUGGGCGUAAAGGGCGCGUAGGCGGCCUUCUAAGUCGGACGUGAAAUCCCUCGGCUCAACCGAGGAAGUGCGUCCGAUACUGAAAGGCUUGAAUCCGGGAGAGGGAUGUGGAAUUCCAGGUGUAGCGGUGAAAUGCGUAGAUAUCUGGAGGAACACCGGUGGCGAAGGCGACAUCCUGGACCGGUAUUGACGCUGAGGCGCGAAAGCCAGGGGAGCAAACGGG
RNAcentral lists this ribosomal RNA (253 nucleotides) under uncultured bacterium. Its description in RNAcentral is "partial 16S ribosomal RNA". It matches the Rfam family "Bacterial small subunit ribosomal RNA", at positions 524 to 776 of the family's 1533-position model. The record is from RNAcentral.